AGAAUCAACGCUGGCGGCGUGCCUAACACAUGCAAGUCGCACGAGAAAGGGACUUCGGUCCUGAGUACAGUGGCGCACGGGUGAGUAACACGUGAAUCAUCUACCUUCGAGUGGGGAAUAACUGAGAGAAAUCUUAGCUAAUACCGCAUAAUACCUACGGGUCAAAGCAGCAAUGCGCUUGAAGAGGAGUUCGCGGCAGAUUAGUUAGUUGGCGGGGUAAUGGCCCACCAAGACGAUGAUCUGUAUCCGGCCUGAGAGGGCGCACGGACACACUGGAACUGAAACACGGUCCAGACUCCUACGGGAGGCAGCAGUGGGGAAUUUUGCGCAAUGGGGGAAACCCUGACGCAGCAACGCCGCGUGGAGGAUGAAAUAUCUUGGUAUGUAAACUCCUUUCGAUGGGGAAGAUAAUGACGGUACCCAUAGAAGAAGCCCCGGCUAACUUCGUGCCAGCAGCCGC
RNAcentral lists this ribosomal RNA (460 nucleotides) under uncultured bacterium. RNAcentral's name for it is "SSU rRNA". It matches the Rfam family "Bacterial small subunit ribosomal RNA", at positions 26 to 518 of the family's 1533-position model. The record is from RNAcentral.